RNAcentral lists this ribosomal RNA (497 nucleotides) under uncultured bacterium. RNAcentral describes it as "partial 16S ribosomal RNA". It matches the Rfam family "Bacterial small subunit ribosomal RNA", at positions 28 to 507 of the family's 1533-position model. The record is from RNAcentral.
GAUGAACGCUGGCGGCGUGCCUAAUACAUACAAGUCGAGCGAACAGACGAGGAGCUUGCUCCUCUGACGUUAGCGGCGGACGGGUGAGUAACACGUGGAUAACCUACCUAUAAGACUGGGAUAACUUCGGGAAACCGGAGCUAAUACCGGAUAAAAUAUUGAACCGCAUGGUUCAAUAGUGAAAGACGGUUUUGCUGUCACUUAUAGAUGGAUCCGCGCCGCAUUAGCUAGUUGGUAAGGUAACGGCUUACCAAGGCAACGAUGCGUAGCCGACCUGAGAGGGUGAUCGGCCACACUGGAACUGAGACACGGUCCAGACUCCUACGGGAGGCAGCAGUAGGGAAUCUUCCGCAAUGGGCGAAAGCUUGACGGAGCAACGCCGCGUGAGUGAUGAAGGUCUUCGGAUCGUAAAACUCUGUUAUUAGGGAAGAACAAAUGUGUAAGUAACUAUGCACGUCUUGACGGUACCUAAUCAGAAAGCCACGGCUAACUACGUG